GAUGAACGCUGGCGGCGUGCCUAAUACAUGCAAGUCGUGCGAACAGACGCUUACCUUGCUACUCUGACGUUAGCGGCGUACGUGUGAGUAACAUGUGGAUCCCCUACCUAUAAGACUGCGCUAACUUCGUGAAACCGGUGCUAAUUCCGUGUUAUAUCUUGAACCUCAUGGUUCAAUAGUUCAAGCCGGUUUUGCUGUCCCUUCUAGCUUGCUCCGCGCCGCAUUAGCUAGUUGGUACGGUAACGGCUUACCAAGGCAACGAUGCGUAGCCGACCUGAGAGGGGGAUCGGCCACACUGGAACUGAGACGCGGUACAGACUCCUACGGGAGGCAGAAGUAGGGAAUCGUGCGAAAUGGGCGAAAGACUGACGGAGCAACGCAGCGUGAGUGAUGAAGGGCUUCGGAUCGGAAAACUCUGUUAGGAGUGAAGAACAAAUGUGGAAGGAACGAUGCACGUCGUGACGGUACCUAAUCAGAAAGCAACGGCUAACUACGUG
Molecule: ribosomal RNA, 497 nt
Filed under: uncultured bacterium
Lineage: Bacteria
Description: partial 16S ribosomal RNA
Rfam family: Bacterial small subunit ribosomal RNA
Source: RNAcentral